GUGUGUAUAGCUCAGUGGUGGAGCACGUGUUCAGCAUGCACGAGGUCCUGGGUUCAAUCCCCAGUACCUCCA
Molecule: transfer RNA, 72 nt
Organism: Camelus ferus (Wild Bactrian camel)
Lineage: Eukaryota; Metazoa; Chordata; Mammalia; Artiodactyla; Camelidae
Rfam family: tRNA
About the family: Transfer RNA (tRNA) molecules are approximately 80 nucleotides in length. Their secondary structure includes four short double-helical elements and three loops (D, anti-codon, and T loops).
Source: Rfam